AUACGGAGGAUCCGAGCGUUAUCCGGAUUUAUUGGGUUUAAAGGGAGCGUAGGUGGACAGUUAAGUCAGUUGUGAAAGUUUGCGGCUCAACCGUAAAAUUGCAGUUGAUACUGGCUGUCUUGAGUACAGUAGAGGUGGGCGGAAUUCGUGGUGUAGCGGUGGAAUGCUUAGAUAUCACGAAGAACUCCGAUUGCGAAGGCAGCUCACUGGACUGCAACUGACACUGAUGCUCGAAAGUGUGGGUAUCAAACAGGAUUAGAUACCCUGGUAGUCCACACAGUAAACGAUGAAUACUCGCUGUUUGCGAUAUACAGUAAGCGGCCAAGCGAAAGCAUUAAGUAUUCCACCUGGGGAGUACGCCGGCAACGGUGAAACUUAAAGGAAUUGGCGGGG
This 393-nucleotide ribosomal RNA is filed under the name uncultured bacterium. RNAcentral's name for it is "partial 16S ribosomal RNA". It matches the Rfam family "Bacterial small subunit ribosomal RNA", at positions 523 to 918 of the family's 1533-position model. The record is from RNAcentral.